GGGAAAAAAAAAAAAAAGAAAACCUGCAAAGUAAACUGUGACAUGCUACCAUCUUUCUUUAAGAGUUAGUAACAAGUCCUAAUAACGCCAAAUACCCACCCCAUCAACCACAACCAAAAGAAGAAAGCAUCUUACCAUCACAAGACACAUCUAAUACAAAUUAAGAAAUAAAUAAAACUACACUAACAUAAGCAAAAGAUAUAAAGGUGAUCACUUGAAAAAUCAGCAAAAUCAUGAGCAUUGCUCUCGAGCCACACCAAGCCUUGAAUUGGGCACAUCAAAAAGUAUCCUAUGGUUUUGUUGCUGCAUGUUGGCUAUCACAUUUAGCACUGAAUUCACAUUCUCUGGUGCUGCUGCCAUGGCCAGGCAUGUGGUGCUGCCUGCUGUGCUGUGGAUUAGUAGGUUAUCCGGUGGCAAUGUCACAUUCAUCCCGGAGAACAUGAAUGUUAUGGUGGGUGCUACGAUUGGUA
This 470-nucleotide unclassified non-coding RNA is filed under the name Hevea brasiliensis (rubber tree). The record is from RNAcentral. Lineage: Eukaryota; Viridiplantae; Streptophyta; Magnoliopsida; Malpighiales; Euphorbiaceae.